AUGUGCACAUGGAGAGAGAGCCUGACAGACCUGGAGGACGCCAUGCUACAGAAGUCUAGGAGGAGGAGGGGAAACGUUUCCAUAUUCAAGAGCCUUUCGUGGCCCCGAGGUGCUCUGGUGCUGAUGCCCCUGGGUCAGGGAGAUGAAGCCCAUGCUCCUAACUGGCACAGACCCUGCCCUGGCACUGAGAGAUUGUGGGUGAUCAUCUGCCAGCAGCAAGAGGAUAUUCAGAGGAGCUCUUCUGCCAAGGAAGAGGAGAAAAUGUAGAGGAAUUGCUCACUUCAGGUAAGAUUAGGGAG
RNAcentral lists this long non-coding RNA (299 nucleotides) under Chinchilla lanigera (long-tailed chinchilla). RNAcentral's name for it is "lncRNA (ENSCLAG00000028941.1)". Lineage: Eukaryota; Metazoa; Chordata; Mammalia; Rodentia; Chinchillidae. The record is from RNAcentral.